RNAcentral lists this ribosomal RNA (336 nucleotides) under uncultured bacterium. Its description in RNAcentral is "bacterial SSU rRNA". It matches the Rfam family "Bacterial small subunit ribosomal RNA", at positions 1 to 334 of the family's 1533-position model. The record is from RNAcentral.
CGCGACGAUUUCAGAGUUUGAUCCUGGCUCAGAUUGAACGCUGGCGGCAUGCCUUACACAUGCAAGUCGAACGGCAGCACGGACUUCGGUCUGGUGGCGAGUGGCGAACGGGUGAGUAAUGUAUCGGAACGUACCUUUCAGUGGGGGAUAACGUAGCGAAAGUUACGCUAAUACCGCAUAUUCUGUGAGCAGGAAAGCAGGGGAUCGCAAGACCUUGCGCUGAUUGAGCGGCCGAUAUCAGAUUAGCUAGUUGGUGGGGUAAAGGCCUACCAAGGCUACGAUCUGUAGCGGGUCUGAGAGGAUGAUCCGCCACACUGGAACUGAGACACGGUCCAG